This is a non-coding RNA of Kogia breviceps (pygmy sperm whale), 862 nucleotides long. The record is from RefSeq and is a predicted model, not a curated record. NCBI's taxonomy places the organism in Eukaryota, Metazoa, Chordata, Mammalia, Artiodactyla, Physeteridae.
UAAGCCCAUGUGCCACAACUACUGAGCCUGUGAGCCACAACUACUGAAACCCGCACACCUAAAGCCCGUGCUCCACAACAAGAGAAGCCACCACAGUGAGAAGCCCGUGCACCGCGAUGAAGAGUAGCCCCUGCUCGCCGCAACUAGAGAGAGCCCGCGUGCAGCAACGAAGACCCAACACAGCCAUAAAUAAAUAAAUUAAUUAAAUACAGUUUAAAAAUAAAUAAAUAAAAUAAAAUAGCUGGGCCAUGAAUCAGUCGUGAUUCAUUUCAAAGAUUUAAAUGAUGUAAGGAGAGCCUUAACCCAAAGGCUCCUCAUUCUCUAAAGGUUGAAACUUGUACCUAACUCCUGUUUUCCGAUUCUUUCUCUGUUAGUCACCAGGAGUCUUCUGUGCCCUAUGACAGGGCAGGUUAAGUACAAAAUCAGCAUUUGCUCCCAAUGAAGCAAGUAGCCAUGCUUUGUCUCGAAAAGCUGCCAAAUGAAAGAUGAUGAGAUUAUCUGGUCUACGUUAUGAUUAUACUUGAGAGCGAAUGGGGGCCAUCGUUUCACUAUGAGCACAGGGAGGGAGGUCCGCAGAGACAAAUGUGAUGAACACAGGAGGCCACAGAGUCCCCAAAGGCGUCUUUUAUAAGCAUUGUGGUCUUGGGUCAGUUGCUCCAGGCGAAUCCUGCUGCCGUGUUGUGAGGACACUGGAGCAGCCAAGGGAAGAACCGAGGCCAAGAGAGCUCUACGGCGAAUGGACAAGUCUGUAAGCAGUUCCACCACACCAAAUGCAAAUCUCUUGAAAAGCGGUACAAAUAGGCUUGACUUCUGAGCUUUCAGCUGUCCACCUCAUCUCUGUGAGCGGAUUUUCUUCUUGGCA